UGGGGAAUCUUGCGCAAUGGGCGCAAGCCUGAUCCAGCAAUGCCGCGUGUGUGAAGAAGGCCUUCGGGUUGUAAAGCACUUUAGGCCGGGAAGAAAAAACAGAAUCUAAUAGGUUCUGUCUUGACGGUACCGGAAGAAUAAGCGACGGCUAACUCUGUGCCAGCAGCCGCGGUAAUACAGAGGUCGCAAGCGUUAAUCGGAUUUACUGGGCGUAAAGCGUGUGUAGGUGGUUGUGCAAGUCGGUUGUGAAAUCCCCGGGCUCAACCUGGGAACUGCUUCCGAGACUGUGCGACUAGAGAUCGGUAGAGGGCGGUGGAAUUUCCGGUGUAGCGGUGAAAUGCGUAGAUAUCGGAAGGAACACCAAUGGCGAAGGCAGCCGCCUGGGCCUGAUCUGACACUGAGACACGAAAGCGUGGGGAUCAAACAG
RNAcentral lists this ribosomal RNA (427 nucleotides) under uncultured bacterium. Its description in RNAcentral is "bacterial SSU rRNA". It matches the Rfam family "Bacterial small subunit ribosomal RNA", at positions 355 to 775 of the family's 1533-position model. The record is from RNAcentral.